GGAGUGCUCGAAAGAGAACCGUAACACAGGUGCUGCAUGGCUGUCGUCAGCUCGUGUCGUGAGAUGUUGGGUUAAGUCCCGCAACGAGCGCAACCCUUGUCAUUAGUUGCUACGAAAGGGCACUCUAAUGAGACUGCCGGUGACAAACCGGAGGAAGGUGGGGAUGACGUCAAGUCCUCAUGGCCCUUAUAGGUGGGGCUACACACGUCAUACAAUGGAUGGUACAAAGGGUCGCCAACCCGCGAGGGGGAGCCAAUCCCAUAAAGCCAUUCGUAGUCCGGAUCGCAGUCUGCAACUCGACUGCGUGAAGUCGGAAUCGCUAGUAAUCGUGGAUCAGAAUGUCACGGUGAAUACGUUCCCGGGUCUUGUACACACCGCCCGUCACACCAUGGGAGCGGGUUCUGCCAGAAGUAGUUAGCCUAACCGCAAGGAGGGCGAUUACCACGGCAGGGUUCGUGACUGGGGUGAAGUCGUAACAAGGUA
Molecule: ribosomal RNA, 483 nt
Filed under: uncultured Pseudomonadota bacterium
Lineage: Bacteria; Pseudomonadati; Pseudomonadota
Description: bacterial SSU rRNA
Rfam family: Bacterial small subunit ribosomal RNA
Source: RNAcentral